Molecule: transfer RNA, 72 nt
Filed under: Myxococcales bacterium
Lineage: Bacteria; Pseudomonadati; Myxococcota; Myxococcia; Myxococcales
Description: tRNA-Arg
Rfam family: tRNA
About the family: Transfer RNA (tRNA) molecules are approximately 80 nucleotides in length. Their secondary structure includes four short double-helical elements and three loops (D, anti-codon, and T loops).
Source: RNAcentral
CGACGCGUAGCUUAAUGGAAAAGCGCCGUACUACGGAUGCGGUUUAUGGGGGUUCGAAUCCCUCCGUGUCGA